CCUACGGGGGACAGCAGUAGGGAAUCUUGCACAAUGGACGAAAGCCUGAUGCAGCGACGCCGCGUGAGGGAUGAAGGUCUUCGGAUCGUAAACCUCUGUCAGCAGGGAAGAACGGUCACUGUGCUAAUCAGCAGUGAAUUGACGGUACCUGCAAAGGAAGCACCGGCUAACUCCGUGCCAGCAGCCGCGGUAAUACGGAGGGUGCGAGCGUUAAUCGGAAUUACUGGGCGUAAAGCGCUCGUAGGCGGUAUGUCAAGUCAAGGGUGAAAUCCCCGCGCUCAACGGGGGAACUGCCUUUGAAACUGGCAAACUGGAGUGUGUGAGAGGAUGGUGGAAUUCCAGGUGUAGGGGUGAAAUCCGUAGAUAUCUGGAGGAACAUCAGUGGCGAAGGCGACUAUCUGGCACAUAACUGACGCUGAGGAGCGAAAGCGUGGGUAGCAAACAGGAUUAGAUACCCGGGUAGUC
Molecule: ribosomal RNA, 465 nt
Filed under: uncultured bacterium
Lineage: Bacteria
Description: partial 16S ribosomal RNA
Rfam family: Bacterial small subunit ribosomal RNA
Source: RNAcentral